GCCGCCCAGCCAGUAGGGUGGAUAUGUCCCUCGGCUUGUAACCGAGUGGGCUCGGGUUCGAAUCCCGAAUAAGGCA
Molecule: transfer RNA, 76 nt
Filed under: Trichonephila clavata
Lineage: Eukaryota; Metazoa; Arthropoda; Arachnida; Araneae; Nephilidae
Description: tRNA-Thr
Source: RNAcentral